Molecule: ribosomal RNA, 534 nt
Filed under: uncultured bacterium
Lineage: Bacteria
Description: bacterial SSU rRNA
Rfam family: Bacterial small subunit ribosomal RNA
Source: RNAcentral
CCUAGGUCAGAUUAGCUAGUUGGUAGGGUAAAGGCCUACCAAGGCGGCGAUCUGUAGCGGGUCUGAGAGGAUGAUCCGCCACACUGGAACUGAGACACGGUCCAGACUCCUACGGGAGGCAGCAGUGGGGAAUAUUGGACAAUGGGCGAAAGCCUGAUCCAGCCAUGCCGCGUGUGUGAAGAAGGCCUUUUGGUUGUAAAGCACUUUAAGCGGGGAGGAGGGCACCACGGUUAAUACCCGUGAAUGUCGGACGUUACCCGCAGAAUAAGCACCGUAUAACUCUGUGCCAGCAGCCGCGGUAAUACAGAGGGUGCGAGCGUUAAUCGGAAUUACUGGGCGUAAAGCGCGCGUAGGCGGCUUGUUAAGUCGGAUGUGAAAUCCCUGGGCUCAACCUAGGCAUUGCAUACGAUACUGGCAAGCUAGAGUAUGGGAGAGGAAGGUAGAAUUCCAGGUGUAGCGGUGAAAUGCGUAGAGAUCUGGAGGAAUACCGAUGGCGAAGGCAGCCCUUCUGGCCUAAUACUGACGCUGAGGUGC